This 686-nucleotide ribosomal RNA is filed under the name Rhizophagus clarus. Its description in RNAcentral is "partial large subunit ribosomal RNA". It matches the Rfam family "Eukaryotic large subunit ribosomal RNA", at positions 89 to 626 of the family's 3401-position model. The record is from RNAcentral. Lineage: Eukaryota; Fungi; Glomeromycota; Glomeromycetes; Glomerales; Glomeraceae.
GCGAGUGAAGAGGGACAAGCUCAAAUUUUAAAUCCGUCGGGUUACACCUGACCGAGUUGUAAUUCGAAGAGGCGUUUUCCGCGUUUUUGAUCAGUCCAAGUCCUUUGGGAUAGGGCAUCAUGGAGGGUGAGAAUCCCGUUCGGCUGAUCAGAUUCGCUUUACGAUACGUCAUCUAAGAGUCAAGUUGUUUGGGAAUGCAGCUUAAAAUGGGAGGUAAAUUUCUCCUAAGGCUAAAUAACGGCGAGAGACCGAUAGCGAACAAGUACCGUGAGGGAAAGAUGAAAAGAACUUUGAAAAGAGAGUUAAACAGUACGUGAAAUUGUUGAAAGGGAAACGAUUGAAGCCAGUCGUACCGGUGGGUAAUCAGCCUUUCGGCGUGAUUAUGUGGAGCGUGAGGAGUUAAACGCCCUCAUGGCCUGAAUAUUCGUGUUCUUUGGGUGUACUUACCCGCAUGGUAGGUUAACAUCAAUUUCGAACGUCAUAAAAUGGUUGGAGGAAUGUAGCUUCGAUCUCGUAUUGAAGUGUUAUAGACUCCGGCAGAUGUGAUGAUCGGGAUUGAGGAUUGCAACGGAUACCCUUCGGCUACCCGUCUGAUCUCUGAAAGUUGCUCUGGUGCCGAAAGCUCGCUUACGGUCAUCAAAGUUGACGUUCAACAGGUUAGAACGGGAUAAAUUCGUUAAGGAUGU